This 648-nucleotide ribosomal RNA is filed under the name Cortinarius traganus. Its description in RNAcentral is "eukaryotic LSU rRNA". It matches the Rfam family "Eukaryotic large subunit ribosomal RNA", at positions 1 to 630 of the family's 3401-position model. Lineage: Eukaryota; Fungi; Basidiomycota; Agaricomycetes; Agaricales; Cortinariaceae. The record is from RNAcentral.
GUGACCUCAAAUCAGGUAGGACUACCCGCUGAACUUAAGCAUAUCAAUAAGCGGAGGAAAAGAAACUAACAAGGAUUCCCCUAGUAACUGCGAGUGAAGCGGGAAAAGCUCAAAUUUAAAAUCUGGCAGUCUUUUGGCUGUCCGAGUUGUAAUCUAGAGAAGUGUUAUCCGCGCUGGACCAUGUACAAGUCUCCUGGAAUGGAGCAUCAUAGAGGGUGAGAAUCCCGUCUUUGACAUGGACUUCCAGGGCUUUGUGAUGCGCUCUCAAAGAGUCGAGUUGUUUGGGAAUGCAGCUCAAAAUGGGUGGUAAAUUCCAUCUAAAGCUAAAUAUUGGCGAGAGACCGAUAGCGAACAAGUACCGUGAGGGAAAGAUGAAAAGAACUUUGGAAAGAGAGUUAAACAGUACGUGAAAUUGCUGAAAGGGAAACGCUUGAAGUCAGUCGCGUCGUCCAGGGAUCAACCUUGCUUUUGCUUGGUGCACUUCCUGGUUUGAUGGGUCAGCAUCAAUUUUGACUAUUGGAAAAAGGUUAAGGGAAUGUGGCAUCUUUGGAUGUGUUUAUAGCCCUUGGUCACAUACAAUGGUUGGGAUUGAGGAACUCAGCACGCCGCAAGGCCGGGUUUAAACCACGUACGUGCUAGGAUGCUGCA